Molecule: ribosomal RNA, 467 nt
Filed under: uncultured bacterium
Lineage: Bacteria
Description: partial 16S ribosomal RNA
Rfam family: Bacterial small subunit ribosomal RNA
Source: RNAcentral
ACGAACGCUGGCGGCGUGCUUAACACAUGCCAGUCGAACGGAAAGGCCCUGCUUUUGUGGGGUGCUCGAGUGGCGAACGGGUGAGUAACACGUGAGUAACCUGCCCUUGACUUUGGGAUAACUUCAGGGAACUGGGGCUAAUACCGGAUAGGAGCUCCUGCUGCAUGGUGGGGGUUGGAAAGUUUCGGCGGUUGGGGAUGGACUCGCGGCUUAUCAGCUUGUUGGUGGGGUAGUGGCUUACCAAGGCUUUGACGGGUAGCCGGCCUGAGAGGGUGACCGGCCACAUUGGGACUGAGAUACGGCCCAGACUCCUACGGGAGGCAGCAGUGGGGAAUAUUGCACAAUGGGCGGAAGCCUGAUGCAGCAACGCCGCGUGCGGGAUGACGGCCUUCGGGUUGUAAACCGCUUUCGCCUGUGACGAAGCGUGAGUGACGGUAAUGGGUAAAGAAGCACCGGCUAACUACGUG